UACGUAGGGCGCAAGCGUUAUCCGGAAUUAUUGGGCGUAAAGAGCUCGUAGGCGGUUUGUCGCGUCUGCCGUGAAAGUCCGGGGCUCAACCCCGGAUCUGCGGUGGGUACGGGCAGACUAGAGUGCAGUAGGGGAGACUGGAAUUCCUGGUGUAGCGGUGAAAUGCGCAGAUAUCAGGAGGAACACCGAUGGCGAAGGCAGGUCUCUGGGCUGUAACUGACGCUGAGGAGCGAAAGCAUGGGGAGCGAACAGG
RNAcentral lists this ribosomal RNA (253 nucleotides) under uncultured bacterium. RNAcentral's name for it is "partial 16S ribosomal RNA". It matches the Rfam family "Bacterial small subunit ribosomal RNA", at positions 524 to 776 of the family's 1533-position model. The record is from RNAcentral.